GGUCCGGUGGCUCAAUGGUAGAGCGUCUGACUACGAGUCCAUCUGGUCAUCAGGAGGUUGCAGGUUCGAGACCUGCCCGGAUCG
Molecule: transfer RNA, 84 nt
Rfam family: tRNA
About the family: Transfer RNA (tRNA) molecules are approximately 80 nucleotides in length. Their secondary structure includes four short double-helical elements and three loops (D, anti-codon, and T loops).
Source: Rfam